This 567-nucleotide ribosomal RNA is filed under the name Symbiodinium sp. Mp. RNAcentral's name for it is "partial Eukaryotic small subunit ribosomal RNA". It matches the Rfam family "Eukaryotic small subunit ribosomal RNA", at positions 562 to 1123 of the family's 1831-position model. The record is from RNAcentral. Lineage: Eukaryota; Dinophyceae; Suessiales; Symbiodiniaceae.
UGGUGCCAGCAGCCGCGGUAAUUCCAGCUCCAAUAGCGUAUAUUUAAGUUGUUGCAGUUAAAAAGCUCGUAGUUGGAUUUCUGGUCGGAACGCCGGUCCGGCUCCGCAAGGGGUCGUGUAUUGGUUUCUCCUGCCAUCCUCAGGGGGAGCUGCACUGGUAUUCAUUUAUCGGUGUGGUUACGCCUGUCGUUUACUGUGAACAAAUUAGAGUGUUCAAAGCAAGGUGUACUUGAAUACAUUAGCAUGGAAUAAUAAGAUAGGACUUUGGUGGUUCUUUUUGAUAUUUUGUUGGUUUGCACGCCAAAGUAAUGAUUAAUAGGAGCAGUUGGGGGUAUUCGUAUUCAAUUGUCAGAGGUGAAAUUCUUGGAUUUAUAGAAGACGAACUACUGCGAAAGCAUUUAUCAAGGAUGUUUUCAUUAAUCAAGAACGAAAGUUAGGGGAUCGAAGAUGAUUAGAUACCAUCGUAGUCUUAACCAUAAACUAUGCCGACUAGGGAUUGGCGGACGUUGUCUAUAUGACUUCGCCAGCACCUCAUGAGAAAUCAAAGUCUUUGGGUUCCGGGGGGAG